RNAcentral lists this ribosomal RNA (247 nucleotides) under uncultured bacterium. RNAcentral's name for it is "partial 16S ribosomal RNA". It matches the Rfam family "Bacterial small subunit ribosomal RNA", at positions 523 to 769 of the family's 1533-position model. The record is from RNAcentral.
AUACGUAGGUGGCGAGCGUUGUCCGGAAUUACUGGGUGUAAAGGGCGUGUAGGCGGGUUUGCAAGUCAGAUGUGAAAUUCCGGGGCUUAACUCCGGCGCUGCAUUUGAAACUGCAAGUCUUGAGUACUGGAGAGGGAAGCGGAAUUCCUAGUGUAGCGGUGAAAUGCGUAGAUAUUAGGAGGAACACCAGUGGCGAAGGCGGCUUUCUGGACAGUAACUGACGCUGAGGCGCGAAAGCGUGGGGAGC